UUUUAAAGAACUCUUCUAGUAGGCACAUUCAAAUUUUUUGCGCUAAUUUGCCCACCAAUUUAGUAGGGAAAAACUCAUACUAUCAAACAUUACGUAUUUCAUGUCGGGACCACAAAUUUUACGUAAUUCUUAGCUCUAAACUACUUUUC
This is a long non-coding RNA of Bradysia coprophila, 149 nucleotides long. The record is from RefSeq and is a predicted model, not a curated record. NCBI's taxonomy places the organism in Eukaryota, Metazoa, Arthropoda, Insecta, Diptera, Sciaridae.